RNAcentral lists this ribosomal RNA (205 nucleotides) under uncultured bacterium. RNAcentral's name for it is "partial 16S ribosomal RNA". It matches the Rfam family "Bacterial small subunit ribosomal RNA", at positions 111 to 334 of the family's 1533-position model. The record is from RNAcentral.
UAACGCGUGAGAAUCUGCCUUCAGGUUGGGGACAACAGUUGGAAACGACUGCUAAUACCCAAUGUGCCGAGAGGUGAAAGCUUUAGUGCCUGAAGAUGAGCUCGCGUCUGAUUAGCUAGUUGGUGGGGUAAUGGCCUACCAAGGCGACGAUCAGUAGCUGGUCUGAGAGGAUGAUCAGCCACACUGGGACUGAGACACGGCCCAG